Molecule: long non-coding RNA, 467 nt
Organism: Oreochromis niloticus (Nile tilapia)
Lineage: Eukaryota; Metazoa; Chordata; Actinopteri; Cichliformes; Cichlidae
Exons: 2
Source: RefSeq, a predicted model, not a curated record
CUGGGUUUUUCAAACCUGCCUCCCUUACUUUGACAGUGAUACCCUCUGCAAAAGUUAACACAAAUCUAUAGCUGCAUGCACAGUAAAUUUCCAGCAGUGAAGUUCUGGGAUCCAAUCUUCUGAAUUGCUCAUCUCGCAGAAGACAAAGGGAACAGCCCCAGAAUGUCUCCGGAUGUUUCAGUUUAUACUUUGUCAAGUGCCCACCUUUCUACCUUAAAUAUCCAGUCACUGAUCUUCAACAACACUUUAUAAUUUUCUCUCUCUCUCUUUUAACAUGGAAAAUUUCAUUACAUUAGAACAUUUAGUCAUAUAUGAAUAAGCUUCACAUAACGAUUUAUGCAGUUUAGAUUUCAUUAUCACAUUCACUUUAGCAUAAUCCUUUUAAUCCAAAUACUUUUUCUCUUUAAAACUGUUUGUCAAUCACAAUUUGAGCCUAAAUUAAGCCUGUCUUUAAAAUCAUACUCACC